Molecule: long non-coding RNA, 1701 nt
Organism: Aedes albopictus (Asian tiger mosquito)
Lineage: Eukaryota; Metazoa; Arthropoda; Insecta; Diptera; Culicidae
Exons: 3
Source: RefSeq, a predicted model, not a curated record
GCCGAAUAUAUCGACGAAAAAUCAAACCGUCAAGCUUCGAUCAUUUUGACAUUUGGCUUUGCGGCGUGUGAGAGAAGGAGACCGAAUGGUGAAGUUCAUCUCACCUCUCACUUACUCCAAAUUCGAAUACAUUCGAACAAAGGCAACAAAAUGUCAAAAUGACCCGAACCUCUCUCUGCUGCAGUCCCGCCGGUGCAAUGAAAAAACAAAAAACAUGGACGGACUCCGCUGGUCCCGGAUGAAGGAUUCCCACAUAACCAGGCGAGCAGGAAUUCCGCCAACAGUUUCGCUUCUGUAUGCAGCAGACGUAUCCCUUCCAGACAACUUCCUCAAGGUGCACUUCCCAUACUACGAGCUGUAUCUGACCGAGACGGCCCACCCCGCAUAGAGAUUUACAGUUUGUCUUAAACUCCUAACAAUAAAUUUCAUGUAUCUGUAGCUAUUACCGUAUGGCAAACAGUUGCUUUUUUGUUGAAGAAUAUGAGAUUGAACGCAAUCAACUAUAAAUCACGGACCAUGCAAUCCAUACCAAGUGGUGACAUUAUAUUAUACUGCCCAGAUAUUGUUGAAUUAUAUGGAGACUGUAGCUCUCAAGUAAUGUAUGUCAAACUGUUCGUGCUUAUUCUGUGCAACACACUUACAUACAUGCGUUUUACUAUAUGCUACUGAUAUUUUACAAUAUGAGAAACAGUGGCACGCAUUGGUAUUUGUGAACCAAUGAAAAUCGACUGGUGGCUUUUAAAACAAAACAAAAAAAUGUGGAAGCAGCAAAUUCAAAUUGAAAUUUUGUUUUGAAGCAUUUUUGGUUCGUCUAAUAUCAGUGCACUGGAUCCGUAGUAGCUGUUACAGAUGAGUAUUUUAUCUAACGGAAACAUUGUGUCCACCCAGCUUAUACCUACUGUGCAUUUUUUCUCUUUGUAUUAAGAAACAGUUUCCACCCGGAGGCAUCCAUCGGCGGCCUACAGUUGGACGGUCACAUUACACGGCAUUGAUCCGGUGACCCAAUCAUCCGGACCGAGAUUUGGACAAUUCGGAACGUUCGGAAUGAGGCAUGGGGUGCAUCGUUCAAUUAUGGCAAGUCCUGAAGGAGUGCUGUUUACUAUGUAUGCGUUCAAAGCUGGGACAAUCGAGUGUGGAUGGAGUUUCGUCGAUUCGAUUUCCAAUCAAACUUCUUCCAAGCUAGCGGCAAGUAUGUGAUGUCUACGCGAUUUCAUGAAUAAAAGUAAUUGAUUCUUUGCUUAAUAUUUAAUUUGUUACUUAUUUCUCUCUCGCGGUACUCAUACAAAAUAACAGUACACAAUCAUAUGAUAACAGUACGAUACACAGUUAUUCUACUAUGAAGAACUAUAAAUCACUCGUAAUACAUACAUUGAAGUUUUUUCUCGAUAUGUAUGGUUAAAUUGUACUCUAACCAUUUGCUAUACAGCAAAUCGUCCGGAAACUGGAUAAUAUAUUGACCAUAUUCUUUACUGUAUUGCGAAAAAUUUGUUCGAGAAAACGAGCGAUUUUUUAUGGUAACCAAUCUUAACCGCCUAUUCCACAUACUGUAAAUUGGCGGAUUACCAUUUGUCAAACUGGCAAAUCUGUACCUGGAAUGGUUAGCUUACUGUUAUCUCCGAUAGUUUGAUAAAUGGUUAAAUGAUAAUUGCUAAUGGUCAUCUACAGUAUGAGAAACGUUGCAUUUACAGUUUGUGAUUAUGC